UAGGGAAUCUUCGGCAAUGGACGAAAGUCUGACCGAGCAACGCCGCGUGAGUGAAGAAGGUUUUCGGAUCGUAAAACUCUGUUGUUAGAGAAGAACAAGGACGUUAGUAACUGAACGUCCCCUGACGGUAUCUAACCAGAAAGCCACGGCUAACUACGUGCCAGCAGCCGCGGUAAUACGUAGGUGGCAAGCGUUGUCCGGAUUUAUUGGGCGUAAAGCGAGCGCAGGCGGUUUCUUAAGUCUGAUGUGAAAGCCCCCGGCUCAACCGGGGAGGGUCAUUGGAAACUGGGAGACUUGAGUGCAGAAGAGGAGAGUGGAAUUCCAUGUGUAGCGGUGAAAUGCGCAGAGAUAUGGAGGAACACCAGUGGCGAAGGCGACUUUCUGGUCUGUAACUGACGCUGAUGUGCGAAAGCGUGGGGAUCAAACAGG
This 429-nucleotide ribosomal RNA is filed under the name Chloroflexota bacterium. Its description in RNAcentral is "Chloroflexi bacterium partial 16S ribosomal RNA". It matches the Rfam family "Bacterial small subunit ribosomal RNA", at positions 355 to 776 of the family's 1533-position model. The record is from RNAcentral. Lineage: Bacteria; Bacillati; Chloroflexota.